CCGUAUUACGAGAAAAUUGGAUACAAUAUUCUUCUAUGGAACAUAAGCCAUGCUUUUGUAAGAAUUUGCAUUUCAUUAGCUUGUAAUAACAUAGAACUAUCAAUCAUUUUUACUUUAAUAUUCAGGUAAAUGUGAUACAAGUCACCAUAACGACUAAUGUAAUUGUGUGCGUCUUAUUUCUUAAACUUUAUUCUAUGGCAUGUCAUGAAUUUUCGCGACAUGGAAUCAUUAAUUGAAUUUUAUAAUUAAAAUUGAAGAAGAAUUGCGUCUUGUGAUCAGAAUGAGAAUGUGGACAAUUAAUGGACUACUUCAUAGGAAAACAUGUCAUUGAUUUAUAACACGGCGUACACAAGGCCGUUAUUUUGCACAGUGAUAUUGUUGCUACUUUUGGUUAAACAGAGCUUCCUCGCCAACACGGGUCAUGGUCAGGAGAGAAACAGUGACGUCAUAGAGGGGUGCCCUAACUCAUAUAAUACAGAGCAACUGUUAACUAUAUUUGAAAGGGAUUACGACAAUCAAAAUUAUGCCUUUGACGACGACGUCAUUAUUAUGGAUGACGUGAAUAUUGACGUCACACAUCUACACUCGGAACGAGCGUGCAAAAGACAUAAGUUAUACAAUAAAACGAAGAAGAAAUUAAAAGGAUCAAAGAAUCAUAGGAAAAGAUUAAAGAAGAAGAAGAAAUUCCACAAAAGUGUCAGGAAACGAAACAAUAAAGUAAAAUUUUAGUGAUUGGAAUACCUUUUGUUUCUCGAAUGAUGAUGGUUGUUUAAACACAAACGCAGACCAUUUAGAAUGUUUGAGUUUUGUGAUUAACAGUCGAAAAAACCUUAACAUUGCUGUAAAAUGCGGGUAUGAUAAUGAUCUCUUCAUUUUGGGCACUACAUUACAUAGUUACGACCAGUGGAUGGUGUAUUACUUCUAUUGACAGUUGCCAUGAUAUUAAGUAAUUAUAAGUUUUGUCACGUAUUCGUUAACAGAAUGAAGUGGAAUAGUAAUGUGCCUGACUGCAAUACUUUAUAUCGCAGAGAGAUGUGCAUUCUUCCAAUCUAUACAUACAUAUAUUUAAUGCAAAUUGCAAACGAGUAUUUGUGUUUGAUUUUCACAUAUGUGAUGGAUAUUUGAUAUUUUUCAUUAUGCAUAAUUAAUGAGUGAAUGAAUGAGAAAUGCCGAGGUAUACGUCAUGUUAUUCAUAUAUUCUAUGUUUAUGAACGAAUGGAAGUAUUUUUACCUUCUCGAUACAAAUCUUAAGGUCACAUGUUUUCUGUAAGUAUUUUCCUGUUGUAUAUAUUAAAGUGAAUUCAACUUUAUACACAAUCAUUAUGACGAAGAUUUGUCGAGAAUGUUGAAAAAUCAAGCCAACUUAUAGAAGAACGGUGCUCUGAGCCAAGUGCCCGCUGUGCAGAAUGGACGCCAUUGUUCGUCCUAAACAAUACAAGGCGGGAAGAAGAAAUAUGACUGUCGCUUAUAGCGACAAAAUUAGUAUAUUGUAAUAUGAAUUGUUUAUGAAUUGUUUAUUUUGCCAUUGUGAUAAUAAUUUCAAGAUUGUACUAAAUUGUAAUCAUAAUCAUUUUAUACUGAUACAAACUAUGCAUUUUCUUACGCUAUUAUACGUCACCUCUUCAAUGUCUUACUAUAUCGUUUUUUUGUUUCAAUGGCAUGUUUUGUUCAUUUGUUAAACUUGAAACUUGUUAAAAUACUUUAUUCUUUACACUUUAUCUAAAAAUAAGAAAUGCACUUUUGUUUUAAGAUAUUUUUUUGCUAACGUAAAUACAACAAAGUAUGUUAUGGUGAUAACAAAAAUAUACAAAGUAAUGAUCACGUGGUCAGCAUUGUGUAUUAAAUAUCAAUGUUAUGUACGUAAUAUAAUAAAGUUUACAACUCGCGUUUUCAAAAUGCAUUACAGUCACGUUCUUUGAACUUUUCGUUACGUCUUCAGAAUAACGUCAGCAAAGUACAUAACAUAUAAUGUAGACUAA
Ruditapes philippinarum (Manila clam) is the source of this 1979-nucleotide long non-coding RNA. RefSeq lists it as uncharacterized. The transcript is spliced from 4 exons. NCBI's taxonomy places the organism in Eukaryota, Metazoa, Mollusca, Bivalvia, Venerida, Veneridae. The record is from RefSeq and is a predicted model, not a curated record.